CAAACGAGGUCCCGUGCUGAGGUUCUGGGUGGACAUGAACUCGUGGGGUGUUCCUCGACCCAAAGCACCCACAUUACGACGACAACAAAAUCUCACUCAAGUAACCCAUGCUCCUCGCCUUUCUCCUGCCCACUAGCAUGCCCCCGGAGUCCCCAAGAUCCUGGUGGGGAACCGCCUGCACCUGGCGUUCAAGCGGCAGGUGCCCACGGAGCAGGCCCAGGCCUACGCCGAGCGCCUGGGCGUGACCUUCUUUGAGGUCAGCCCUCUGUGCAAUUUCAACAUCACGGAGUCGUUCACGGAGCUGGCCAGGAUCGUGCUGCUGCGGCAUGGGAUGGACCGGCUCUGGCGGCCGAGCAAGGUGCUGAGCUUGCAAGACCUCUGCUGCCGGGCGGUCGUGUCCUGCACGCCGGUGCACCUGGUGGACAAGCUCCCGCUCCCCAUUGCCUUAAGAAGCCACCUCAAGUCCUUCUCGAUGGCCAACGGCCUGAACGCCAGGAUGAUGCACGGCCGUUCCUAC
This 517-nucleotide small RNA is filed under the name Pongo abelii (Sumatran orangutan). RNAcentral's name for it is "retained intron". The record is from RNAcentral. Lineage: Eukaryota; Metazoa; Chordata; Mammalia; Primates; Hominidae.